AGUCACUGACAUUAGAUACCCGUGUAGUCCAGGGUGUAAACGCUGCAGACUUGGUGUUGGAAGCCCGUUUGGGGGCAUUCAGUGCCGGAGAGAAGUUGUUAAGUCUGCUACGUUGGGAGUACGUCCGCAAGGAUGAAAACUUAAAGGAAUUGGCGGGGGAGCACCGCAACGGGAGGAGCGUGCGGUUUAAUUGGAUUCAACACCGUAAAACUCACCAGGGAAGACUGUUACAUGAAGGCCGAGAUGAAGACUCUGCUAGAUUUUCAG
This 267-nucleotide ribosomal RNA is filed under the name uncultured archaeon. RNAcentral's name for it is "partial 16S ribosomal RNA". It matches the Rfam family "Archaeal small subunit ribosomal RNA", at positions 717 to 982 of the family's 1478-position model. The record is from RNAcentral.